AUUAACGCUAGCGGCAGGCAUAAUACAUGCAAGUUGAACGGCAGCACAGGUAGCAAUACUGGGUGGCGAGUGGCGCACGGGUGCGUAACACGUAUGCAACCUACCCUAUACAGGCGAAUAACCUUUAGAAAUGAGGGCUAAUACGCCGUAGUAUUACAGGUGGGCAUCUAUUUGUAAUUAAAGAUUUAUCGGUAUAGGAUGGGCAUGCGUCCCAUUAGUUAGUUGGUAAGGUAACGGCUUACCAAGACGAUGAUGGGUAGGGG
RNAcentral lists this ribosomal RNA (263 nucleotides) under uncultured bacterium. RNAcentral describes it as "partial 16S ribosomal RNA". It matches the Rfam family "Bacterial small subunit ribosomal RNA", at positions 29 to 289 of the family's 1533-position model. The record is from RNAcentral.